Molecule: long non-coding RNA, 2866 nt
Filed under: Brassica napus (rape)
Lineage: Eukaryota; Viridiplantae; Streptophyta; Magnoliopsida; Brassicales; Brassicaceae
Description: long non-coding RNA (BNAP_LNC008002)
Source: RNAcentral
UUUUAUCUCUUCGCUAAAACUAGAGCAUAUAAAAUGGUUUUAUAUAUUUUUAUUGGUAUAUUAAUUAGAUUUUCAUAAAAAGUUUGUAGUAAAAUAUUAAUAUGUUUAUCUUGAGCCCGUAAAAUGCUAGAGACACGUACGUCACUUUGUAGGUGUAAAGCUAGUUGAUGAAAAGUUCUUUGGAUAUGAAGAUUGGAACAUUGGGACCGUGCAUCAUGAAAGGAAGCUCGCAAAUUUUGUUAGCUAAGUGAAGUUUGAGUUGAUCAUAAGCGCAUUUCUUCCCAUGUGAUGCAUAGAUGUCUUCUUUCUUGAGGAUCACAUUUGGGAUUGAGUGUUGGCUUAGAUAAACAGAUGUUGCUAAACCAGCUGGUCCAGCUCCCACAAUCACCACUACAGUCUCCAUAUCUAUAUAUCUCGUGUGUUUAGGUAUGAUAGAUUUUCUCUUUGGGUUGUUCAGAGAUGUUCAUUAAUUAUAUUCUUAUAUAAAGAUAUGAGGACAUGGUGAUAUGUGUGAGCAAAAACGAGGAAAUACGGAAUCUUAAAACUUUUGACACUUGUAAGAAAAUGCAAAGUGAUUUUUAUUAGUGCUGGCGGUUUUGAAACUAUGUACCUAAUUUCUGUAAAUAAAAGAGAGUUCAGUUGAGAAAUAGCCUAGCAUAAACGUUACGAAUUUAAGAGCAACAGGUAACAAAUUUAACCAUGUGUGGCUUACAACUUAAAUGGUGAGUUGUGAGAGAGGAUGUAUGAUAAUAUAUUUCGUAUUUGACUUUGCUAUUUUAUUUUAACAUUUUUGAUUAUGAUAUUAACUACUAUACUUGCUUAAAUAUUAAUACUUGUUUUGUAUAUAUUUGAUAAGACUAGCCAAUAAAUAAUCUGAAAAGAUUUAUUAUUUUGACAUUCUUUAGUUAAUUUAGAAAUACAAAUCAAGUAUGUAAGUGGACGACUACUAAACUUCUAAAAAAUAAUUUUUUUAACAAAAUUGACCAAAUUUUCUUAAACUUUUACUGACACCCAUUAUUUUAUUUUUACAGUGAAUUACUUAAAAAUAAAGGAAUAUGUUUAGAUUAGUUACUAAUUAACUUGACUAUCUAAGUUCGCAGUAAAAGACAAUAUUAGUGUCAUAUUUAUUGUAAAACAACUACAGUCAUCUUUAAAAUGCGAUUUUUUUUGUCAUCAACAUAGAAACUCAACUAAGACUCUGUAAAAUGCAAUUACAUACAGGGUUUUUACCUUGUGGCAUUUUUAAAUUAUCAAUAGAAAUAGACUGAUAUUCUUUGUAUUUUGUCAUUUUCCAAAACUAAAUAUAAAAUUCUAUAAGAUUAUUUCUUCUAUCUAUAUAAGUUAUAUUAAAAACAAGAACCAUUAUAGGUUUCAAAAAAACAAACAGUAGACGUUAUAUUGAAAUGAUCAGUCAUAGAGUGAUACGUGUUAUUUAGUCUUAUCGCUGUUCUCUUAAUAUUUUGGGAAAGUUAUAAAAUAUAUAUUCUAACUGAACUGAAUCAUUUAUGAAGUCAUUACACAUACUGUUUAACAAAGACAUGACACAUAUUGAUUUACUAUAUACGUUAGAUGAACGUGUUCAUGCACUACUGGAAUCUAUUUACUUUGCAUGUAUCCGAAAAAUGGUUUCUUCGUAUGCCCACGCAAGUUCAGAUUGGUACGAAAGUCGAAACAGAUUCUUCUUCUACAACUUAUCCGUUUGAAAAUUGAAACCAUCGAAAAUGUUAGUUGCUUUAAUGUUAAAUAAAAGAAACAAACAAGUGUGAGAGUUAGGUCGCACGAAAAGAGAAAUGAAAAUGGAUGUAUGGCUAGACAUUUACUGAGUUUUUACUAAUAUUUUCUUUUGUUUUGUCCAUAUUUUAGCAAAUAUUUUAUUAGUUAAUAUUUUCUUUUUACAUUUUUAUAUUAGUUUAUCACUUAUAACUUGACAUGUAAACUAUAUAUAUUUCAGUUAAUAUAUAUAAAUGCUGAAGAUGUUCGCAAUCACCUAUAUAAUUUUAUGAUAAUUUUCUUACUAAUCUAAUUUUAUCUCUUCGCUAAAACUAGAGCAUAUAAAAUGGUUUUAUAUAUUUUUAUUGGUAUAUUAAUUAGAUUUUCAUAAAAAGUUUGUAGUAAAAUAUUAAUAUGUUUAUCUUGAGCCCGUAAAAUGCUAGAGACACGUACGUCACUUUGUAGGUGUAAAGCUAGUUGAUGAAAAGUUCUUUGGAUAUGAAGAUUGGAACAUUGGGACCGUGCAUCAUGAAAGGAAGCUCGCAAAUUUUGUUAGCUAAGUGAAGUUUGAGUUGAUCAUAAGCGCAUUUCUUCCCAUGUGAUGCAUAGAUGUCUUCUUUCUUGAGGAUCACAUUUGGGAUUGAGUGUUGGCUUAGAUAAACAGAUGUUGCUAAACCAGCUGGUCCAGCUCCCACAAUCACCACUACAGUCUCAUAUCUAUAUAACUCGUGUGUUUAGGUAUGAUAGAUUUUCUCUUUGGGUUGUUCAGAGAUGUUCAUUAAUUCUGUUCUUAUAUACAGAUAUGAGGACAUGGUGAUAUGUGUGAGCAAAAACGAGAAAAUAUGGAAUCUUAAAACUUUUGACACUUGAAAGAAAAUGCAAAGUGGUUUUUAUUAGUGAUGGCGGUUUUGAAACUAUGUACCUAAUUUCUGUAAAUAAAGUAGAGUUCAGUUGAAAAACAGCCUAGCAUAAACGUUAUGAAUUUAAGAGCAAAAGAUAACAAAUGUAACCAUGCGUGGUUUACAACUUAAAUGGUGAUUUGUCAGAGAGGAUGUAUGAUAUUAUAUUUCGUAUUUGACUUUGCUAUUUUAUUUUAACAUUUUUUAUUAUGAUAUUAACUACUAUACUUGCUUAGAUAUUAAUACUUUUUUUGUAU